GCAAGUCGAACGGUAGAGGGGGCAACCCCUUGAGAGUGGCGAACGGGUCAGUAAUAUAUCGGAACGUGCCCAGUCGUGGGGGAUAACGUAGUGAAAAUUACGCUAAUACCGCAUACGAUCUAAGGAUGAAAGCGGGGGAUCGCAAGACCUCGCGGGACUGGAGCGGCCGAUAUCAGAUUAGGUAGUUGGUAGGGUAAAGGCCUACCAAGCCAACGAUCUGUAGCUGGUCUGAGAGGACGACCAGCCACACUGGAACUGAGACACGGUCCAGACUCCUACGGGAGGCAGCAGUGGGGAAUUUUGGACAAUGGGCGAAAGCCUGAUCCAGCCAUUCCGCGUGCAGGAUGAAGGCCCUCGGGUUGUAAACUGCUUUUGUACAGAACGAAAAGGUUUCUAUUAAUACUAGGAGCUCAUGACGGUACUGUAAGAAUAAGCACCGGCUAACUACGUGCCAGCAGCCGCGGUAAUACGUAGGGUGCAAGCGUUAAUCGGAAUUACUGGGCGUAAAGCGUGCGCAGGCGGUUAUAUAAGUCAGAUGUGAAAUCCCCGGGCUCAACCUGGGAACUGCAUUUGAGACUGUAUAGCUAGAGUACGGUAGAGGGGGAUGGAAUUCCGCGUGUAGCAGUGAAAUGCGUAGAUAUGCGGAGGAACACCGAUGGCGAAGGCAAUCCCCUGGACCUGUACUGACGCUCAUGCACGAAAGCGUGGGGAGCAAACAGGAUUAGAUACCCUGGUAGUCCACGCCCUAAACGAUGUCAACUGGUUGUUGGGUCUUAACUGACUCAGUAGCGAAGCUAACGCGUGAAGUUGACCGCCUGGGGAGUACGGCCGCAAGGUCGAAACUCAAAGGAAUUGACGGGGACCCGCACA
Molecule: ribosomal RNA, 870 nt
Filed under: uncultured Burkholderiales bacterium
Lineage: Bacteria; Pseudomonadati; Pseudomonadota; Betaproteobacteria; Burkholderiales
Description: bacterial SSU rRNA
Rfam family: Bacterial small subunit ribosomal RNA
Source: RNAcentral